This 468-nucleotide ribosomal RNA is filed under the name uncultured bacterium. RNAcentral's name for it is "partial 16S ribosomal RNA". It matches the Rfam family "Bacterial small subunit ribosomal RNA", at positions 28 to 507 of the family's 1533-position model. The record is from RNAcentral.
GACGAACGCUGGCGGCGUGCUUAACACAUGCAAGUCGAACGGAAAGGCCCUGCUUUUGUGGGGUGCUCGAGUGGCGAACGGGUGAGUAACACGUGAGUAACCUGCCCUUGACUUUGGGAUAACUUCAGGAAACUGGGGCUAAUACCGGAUAGGAGCUCCUGCUGCAUGGUGGGGGUUGGAAAGUUUCGGCGGUUGGGGAUGGACUCGCGGCUUAUCAGCUUGUUGGUGGGGUAGUGGCUUACCAAGGCUUUGACGGGUAGCCGGCCUGAGAGGGUGACAGGCCACAUUGGGACUGAGAUACGGCCCAGACUCAUACGGGAGGCAGCGGUGGGGAAUAUUGCACAAUGGGCGGAAGCCUGAUGCAGCAACGCCGCGUGCGGGAUAACGGCCUUCGGGUUGUAAACCGCUUUCGCCUGUGACGAAGCGUGAGUGACGGUAAUGGGUAAAGAAGCACCGGCUAACUACGUG